This 2937-nucleotide long non-coding RNA is filed under the name Solanum tuberosum (potato). RNAcentral describes it as "long non-coding RNA (STUB_LNC007129)". Lineage: Eukaryota; Viridiplantae; Streptophyta; Magnoliopsida; Solanales; Solanaceae. The record is from RNAcentral.
CCAAUUCCACCGCCUUUGAUCAAAUACAUCCGCGCAAGUCUUAUUUCCACCGCUUAAUCGUAGCCGUCUGUCAUAUUCCUCAAACCUAUAAAUACAAGGCAAUUAUUCCAUCCCGGUUUGCUUUUGUUCAAGUUGUACUUUUUUCUGUGAUUCGGUGUUCUUUCGAUGAUAUCUUGAGAUAUAAGCUGUGUUUGAUCAAGAUACCGGGUAAUUUAUUGUAUGAUUAACAUCUGGGUUUAUUGUAUGAUUUAACAUAUGGGUAAUUAUUGGUAUGGUGAAGAUGAUGAUGUAUAAUUAUUGUGGAUCAUGAUAAUGGAUGAUUAUUAUUGUUUGAUCAAAGAUAUGGGUGAUUAUUCCAUUCCUGUUCGUUUUGGUUUUGGUUCUCUGUACGCAGUGUUUGAUUGUCGAUAUGGGUAGUUGUUGUUGAUCAAGACACUGGGUAUAUAUAGUGCAUUGCAAUCCUUUUGAUUCUCGUUUCUUGUGUAUUAUAUAGUGCAUUGCAAUUCUUUUGAUUGAUUCGGAAUACGAGUAGACAACAGAUUUGUGAGCAAGAGUAUAUUUCACAGAUACAGCCAUUUUUUGUGGGGUACUUCCAUAUGUGUCUAUUCUUCCUUUCAAUCUACUAUAAAGGUUUUAACUUGGCCCUUAAUAUUGAAGAUAAUAAAGGUUUUACAUUGGCCCUCAAUAUUGAAGAUAAUAAUUACAUGAUCAAGGGCUGUACCCUCUCGCAUAAAGUAUUUAGCUGUUAUCGUCAACCUUUGUGGCUUUUUGCUUAGAACUUGGAAAUUUAGCUCCCCAGGCCUAUUUAGAUCUUCUGUUGCAGACUUAUGUGUCACAAGCUAUCAUUUUGGAUUUGAUAUCUUGAGUUCCAUCUUGAAUCAUAAUUUUUUAUGCUAAUCAUGUGUCUCUACGCAUCAACUUCUUUUACGUUCUUAGUUGGUUUGGCCUUCAAUUAAUACAUGGAUGGGGCAUCUAAGUGCAAGUGGUUCUACAGGAGUAAGUGUCUUGCUUCGCUGAUUGGUCGGGAAGAUGCAGUAGUUCCUAGGCCUUUGACUAUGUGUCUUGGAUUUUUCAGUCUCUCAAAGCUUUGGAAGUUCUCAACUAUGAUAUUUCUUUUCAGUAGUGUGUAUUGUGUGUUCUGCUGCCAGUUUUAGUUCUUUGGAGUAAGUGUCUUGCUUCGCUGAUCGGUCGGGAAAGAUGCCGUAGUUCCCAGGCCUUUUGACUAUGUGUCUUGGAUUUUUCAGUCUCUCAAAGCUUUAUCCAAAACUGGUAUGAUAUGGAAGUUCUCAACUAUGAUAUUUCUUUUCACAAGUGUGUAUUGUGUGUUCUGCUGCCAGUUUUAGUUCUUAGUUGUGUUCUUUGAUGAUCCUGCUGUCUUUUAAGGUGUUACAGGUACCGGAAAAUGUCAGAAGUCAAAAUGUGCUUCUCUGUUUUUUCUGUCCUAACUACUUAUCUUCUCUGCCGUUUUUCCUUUGUUAUUACGCCAGUUUGAUUUUGUAUUGCUGAAUGAAUGUGUAGACCACCACAUGGUGAUAGUAAUAGAGGAUUAGUUUUGUAUUGGAAAUCCUUUUGAUUGAUUUCCAAUGUUAUUGGAAAUUAGAACCUGGUUCCAUUAUAGAUGCAAUUUCAUGUUUGCUUCCAGGUUCUGGGAAGUAUGAGGUUUUUGUUGUGAGGAUUCAUGUGUUGGUGUACAUUGUUCUGUCUAACUAUUUAGUUCUAUAAAACCUAGCAAUUUCCUUUUUGUUGAAUCAGAAUACUGGAAUUCAGAAUACUGGAAUUUGGCUCCAUGGCCUACUUGGAUCUGCUAUUCUAGACCUAUAUGUCACAACCAUACAAUGGAGCUAUCAGUUUGGAUUUGAUAUCUUGAUUUCCAUUUUUAAUGCUAAUGCUAAUUCUAAUCAUGUGUCUCCUCGCAUCAAUUUCUUUUACCUUCUUAUUUGGUUUGGUCUGAUGUCAUUCUUAGUUAUCAUUCUUAGUUAUCAAAAAUACGUUCGGAUUUUAUAUUUUGACUUCCAUUUUAAAUGCUAAUGCUAAUGCUAAUGCUAGUCAUGUGUCUCCUCACAUCAACUUCUUUUAGCUUCUUAUAUGGUUUGGUCAUCAGUGGAUGUCAUUCUUAGCUGUCAAGAAUACAUGGAUGGGCAUCUAGGUGCAAGUGGUUCUACAGGAAAAAGUGUCUUCCCCCGGUGUUUGUGGUUGGGGAAGAUGCAUCAGUUCCCAAGUCUUUGACUAUAUAGGUAGUGGAUUUUCAGUUUCUCAAAGCUUUGUCAAAACAGGUGCGUUAUAGAAGUGCGUUAUAGAAGUUCUCAACUAUGAUAAUUCUUUCACCGGUGUGUUCUGCUGCCAGUAAGAUGCUUGUGUUCUUUGAUGAUCCUGAUGUCUUUUAUGGUGUUAUGGGCAUGCAUUUUCAUGUUUGCUUCCAGGUUCUGAGAAGUAUGAGGUUUUUGUUGUGAGGAUUCAUGUUGGUGUACAUUGUUCUGUCUUAACUAUUUACUACUAUAAAACCUAGCAAUUUCCUUUUAUUGAAUCAGAAUACUGGAAUUUGGCUCCAGGGCCUACUUGGACCUGCUAUUCUAGACUAUGUCACCGCCAUACAAUGGAGCUAUCUGUUUGGAUUUGAUAUCUUGACUUCCAUUUUUAAUGCUAAUGCUAAUCAUGUGUCUCCUCGCAUCAACUUCUUUUACCUUUUUAUUUGGUUAGGUCAUCAGUGGAUGUCAUUAUUAGUUAUCAAGAAUACUAUUGGAUUUUAUAUCUUGACUUCAAUUUUUAAUGCUAUUGCUAAUGCUAAUCAUGUGUCUCCUCGCAUCAACUUCUUUUUAGCUUCUUAUUUGGUUUGGUCAUCAGUGGAUGUCAUUGUUAGCUGACGAGAAUACAUGGAUGGGCAUCUAGGUGCAAGUGGUUCUACAGGAAGAAGUGUCUUGCCCCAGUGUUUGUGGUUGG